AUGGCGGCAGAAGCAGGGCGAGGCACUGGCAACAGUGGCAAGUGCCGCUACUGCAACAUGUCGGGUCACUGGAUCCGGGAUUGCCAUAGGAGGAAAGCCAACGAGGCAGCCUGGGCAAAGGCAAACCUCGUCCAGGCUGACGUGGACGGCGGGCCGGCAAUGAUGCUGGCAAGAGUCGAGCUCGUGCAGGAGAACUCAAUGUCUCUCGUGACCACGGCCCCGACAUCCACCCAUUCUGUGCAGGAGGCACGGAUCCCGUCCACAGGAACCAUCACUCCAGUGACAGGCCACACCUCGACAAUGACGUUCUCGGGGCCUGUCGACUGGGAGGCGAUGAAGGCUCGGGUGUGGGGGAGCCACACCCCGGCGACGGUGUCCCCGACAACCUCGGGACCCGACGAGGCCGCGCAAGUUGGCGUGACAAUGACGCAUAUGGCGGACCAUGCUCCGGCCAUGAUGCUGGCGACCAUCGACUCCGUGCAGGAGCGCACGGAGACUCGGGUCACCCACACCCCAACGACGAGAUGUUCGGGGUCUACUGCAUUGGCGGGAGAUAGCUCUCCGACAAUGGCAUGUGCAACGAGGAGAGAGUCGUGA
Molecule: ribosomal RNA, 597 nt
Filed under: Triticum aestivum (bread wheat)
Lineage: Eukaryota; Viridiplantae; Streptophyta; Magnoliopsida; Poales; Poaceae
Description: partial small subunit ribosomal RNA
Source: RNAcentral